UUUUAAUUAAUAUAAAAUAUGUUAUUUAUAAAAUGUUAUUUAUAAAAUAUGUUAUUUAUUUAAUAUUUUAUUUACUUAACAAGAUGGUAAAAAAAUAAAAAAAUAAUAUAAAAGUGAAUGUUGUUAGUGGUGACAAUUUCCAUAGUGGAGUAGGUUGGUGGGGAAGAUGACGUGGCGCAGAGGUGGCGUCACUUUUCCGGUGAGUUUGUAGUGACCACUCCAUAUAGCCUUGCCACCACCACCACCCUCGACUUUUCUGUAAACACUGCCACCACCGGUCAAUACCUCUCUCUCCCACCAUCACCUGCCGGAAAAAUAUGAACAACCACCGCCUCUCUCUCUCUCCUGAUGAACCCACAGUCUUUCUCCAGAUUUUCUAACAUACAUGAAUACAAAAAAAUCUGAAAUUUAACAUACAUGAACACAUAAACAAUCAAGAAAUUUGAACACACACACUAAAAAAUCAUAAACUUAAAAAACAAGAACACAUACAAAACCCAUAUAUUUUCUAUCACUUCAAGUGGGAGACGAAGAGACAGAAAUGUUGAUCGGAGAUCGGAGCUACAAACUUUGCUUGGUCCGUUAUCACUUCAAACCUUCACAAACGUAGAUCGAACUUCUGCCUCGUAUCACCGUCUUCUCCUAUAAAACCCUAAUCGUUCUUCUGCCUCCUAUCGCCACCGCCCUUCGUGGUGAAACCCUUGGUAGUUUUGAUGCCUCUGAUCGAUGAAAGGGAAUUCCAACAACUAGACGAGAAGGGAGGUCCGAAGAUCUGUUUGUGGUGAAGGGGUGAAGCAAGAAAGGAGAGAGACGCUCAAACCCAACAACGUCGCUCAAAUCCUUACGUUGGCGGCUAGGGGUUUCAUAUGGAUUGUCCUCUAUGUCCNGCUAGGGUUUUCAUAUGGAUUGUCCUCUAUGUCCUCUGCUCCGAUGACGACUUCACCUCUGCAAAGCCUACAUCGAAACCCCCUCGUUCCAGCUGCCAUCAUCGCCUCUUUAAACCCAAACUUUGUCUCUCCCCUUCUCCAACGAUGGUGCCUAGUUUCGGAUCAGAAGGGAAUCAGAUCAGGUUCAAAGGUUGCAUAGUCGUGGUGGCGGCCAAGAGUUAACAGAAGAAAGGAAGACGGCGUCGGAGGUUGGUGAGGGGGCGGUGAAGGCGGAUAGUGGUUGCAGUUAGGGUGUUAUUGUGUGUGUGUGUUUCCCUAACAGAGAGAGAAAGAGAGGUGACGAGAGAGAGAGAGCAUUUUUCUUUUCUUUUUUUAUUUAUUUUGUAAAAAAAUUGAAAAAACAAUAUGCAAAGGGCAAAGUCGUCAUUUAAAACCAUAAUGGACCAAACUCGUAACAAAAUAAAACUGUUUGGACCA
RNAcentral lists this long non-coding RNA (1364 nucleotides) under Lactuca sativa (garden lettuce). Its description in RNAcentral is "long non-coding RNA (LSAT_LNC008307)". Lineage: Eukaryota; Viridiplantae; Streptophyta; Magnoliopsida; Asterales; Asteraceae. The record is from RNAcentral.